RNAcentral lists this ribosomal RNA (629 nucleotides) under Augocoris sp. CS110. RNAcentral describes it as "partial large subunit ribosomal RNA". Lineage: Eukaryota; Metazoa; Arthropoda; Insecta; Hemiptera; Scutelleridae. The record is from RNAcentral.
GAAAACCUAAAGGCGCAAUGAAAGUGUCAGCGGGGGUCGACCCCUUMACCGGUGUGUCGACCCCCCGUAGGGAGGAUGGGCUGCCCGGCGUCUCGGCGCCGGCUCCCCGCACUCCCGGGGCGUCUCGUUCUCAUUGCGAGUGGAGACGCACCAGGAGCGCACACGCUGGUACCCGAAAGAUGGUGAACUAUGCCUGGCCAGGACGAAGCCCGGGGAAACCCUGGUGGAGGUCCGAAGCGAUUCUGACGUGCAAAUCGAUCGUCUGAGCUGGGUAUAGGGGCGAAAGACCAAUCGAACCAUCUAGUAGCUGGUUCCCUCUGAAGUUUCCCUCAGGAUAGCUGGCUCUCGGGAUUAGACGAGUCUCAUCCGGUAGAGCGAAUGAUUAGAGGUGAUGGGGUCGAAACGACUUCAACCUAUUCUCAAACUCCCAAUAGAUGAGAGCCCCGGCUUGCUUGAAAGUGAAGCCGCGGGAUUCGGAUCAGAGAUGCCAAGUGGGCCAAUUUUGGUAAGCAGAACUGGCGCUGUGGGAUGAACCAAACGCAGAGUUAAGGCGCCUGAUUCGACGCUCAUAUGAAACCAUGAAAGGCGUUGGUUGCUUAAGACAGCAGGACGGUGGCCAUGGAAGUCGG